RNAcentral lists this transfer RNA (68 nucleotides) under human gut metagenome. It matches the Rfam family "tRNA". From Rfam's summary of the family: Transfer RNA (tRNA) molecules are approximately 80 nucleotides in length. Their secondary structure includes four short double-helical elements and three loops (D, anti-codon, and T loops). The record is from RNAcentral.
CAGGUAUAGUUUAGUGGCAAAAUGAGAGCUUCCCAAGCUUUAGUUGCGGGUUCGAUUCCCGCUACCUG